This 300-nucleotide unclassified non-coding RNA is filed under the name uncultured fungus. RNAcentral describes it as "sequence contains 5.8S rRNA gene, ITS2". The stretch from base 1 to 71 matches the Rfam family "5.8S ribosomal RNA", at positions 84 to 154 of the family's 154-position model. The record is from RNAcentral. Lineage: Eukaryota; Fungi.
GUGAGUCAUCGAAUCUUUGAACGCACAUUGCGCUCUCUGGUAUUCCGGGGAGCAUGCCCGUUUCAGAAUCAUAUAAUCAUCUCAAUCCUCCUGUUUGUUAACACAAGCGAGGGGGAGUGAAUGUUGGAUGUCUUUUUGAAUCCUUUUUCAAGGAUGCAAUCGUCUGAAAUAUGAUGGUACGUGGUCCUGGCUUAACAUAGCUGGCUGGUCUACCUGGUGCAACAGAUACACAUCUUUACACCUUGCAGACGAGGCAGCUAGAGCCUGUUUGAUCCUGCGUACACCACAGUAUUAUACAGA